AGAGUUUGAUCCUGGCUCAGAGCGAACGCUGGCGGCAGGCCUAACACAUGCAAGUCGAACGAAGUCUUCGGACUUAGUGGCGGACGGGUGAGUAACACGUGGGAACGUACCUUUUGGUUCGGAACAACUCAGGGAAACUUGAGCUAAUACCGAAUGUGCCCUUCGGGGGAAAGAUUUAUCGCCAUUAGAGCGGCCCGCGUUAGAUUAGCUAGUUGGUGGGGUAAAGGCCCACCAAGGCUACGAUCUAUAGCUGGUCUGAGAGGAUGAUCAGCCACACUGGGACUGAGACACGGCCCAGACUCCUACGGGAGGCAGCAGUGGGGAAUCUUGCGCAAUGGGCGAAAGCCUGACGCAGCCAUGCCGCGUGAAUGAUGAAGGUCUUAGGAUUGUAAAAUUCUUUCAGUAGGGACGAUAAUGACGGUACCUACAGAAGAAGCCCCGGCUAACUUCGUGCCAGCAGCCGCGGUAAUACGAAGGGGGCUAGCGUUGCUCGGAAUUACUGGGCGUAAAGGGAGCGUAGGCGGGUUAUCAAGUUGGAGGUGAAAGCCCAGGGCUCAACCUUGGAAUUGCCUUCAAAACUGAUAACCUAGAGGAUAGAAGAGGUAAGUGGAACUCCGAGUGUAGAGGUGAAAUUCGUAGAUAUUCGGAAGAACACCAGUGGCGAAGGCGACUUACUGGUCUAUUACUGACGCUGA
RNAcentral lists this ribosomal RNA (695 nucleotides) under uncultured bacterium. RNAcentral describes it as "bacterial SSU rRNA". It matches the Rfam family "Bacterial small subunit ribosomal RNA", at positions 8 to 749 of the family's 1533-position model. The record is from RNAcentral.